GGCCACGCCGGGCAGCAGACUUCCAGGGCAGUGGAGGGAGUUGGCUUCCGGAGCCUAGUCAAGGGCCAUCAGGCCACUCGCUGCUCCAGAAGGCCCAGACACAGAAGUCCUACAUACCUGGCCACGGCUCCCGGUUAACAGCACACAACAGCAAGCAGGAAUGAAGAUAUGGGGAGCAAAGAUGGGCUGCUGAGGCUCGGAGUGGGAGCUUUCCCAGGUGCACAUGGUGAGCGGCGGAAUGAUUGCAACCUGGGAUUUCGAAGCCGGUCUGCCGGGUUAACUGGCUGCGGCAGUCAUCGGGGGACACGGGCUAGGGGAAGGGUCCCAGACCCCAACUACAGCCCAGGAAGUGGGGACCACGGUUCAGCCACACUCACCUACCACCUUGAAGCGGAUCAUCUGGCCUGGCCGGGGGAACACCUGUAGCUGCAUGC
Ailuropoda melanoleuca (giant panda) is the source of this 434-nucleotide long non-coding RNA. RefSeq lists it as uncharacterized. NCBI's taxonomy places the organism in Eukaryota, Metazoa, Chordata, Mammalia, Carnivora, Ursidae. The transcript has 4 exons. The record is from RefSeq and is a predicted model, not a curated record.